RNAcentral lists this ribosomal RNA (425 nucleotides) under uncultured bacterium. RNAcentral's name for it is "bacterial SSU rRNA". It matches the Rfam family "Bacterial small subunit ribosomal RNA", at positions 147 to 587 of the family's 1533-position model. The record is from RNAcentral.
CAGGCCGAAAGGCUUGCUAAUACCGGAUGAGUUCAUGCUUAUGCAUAUAGGCAUGAAGAAAGGGCUAGCCCGCUAUGAGAUGAGCCCGCGUCCCAUUAGCUUGUUGGUGGGGUAACGGCCUACCAAGGCAACGAUGGGUAGCCGGCCUGAGAGGGUGUACGGCCACACUGGGACUGAGACACGGCCCAGACUCCUACGGGGGGCAGCAGUAGGGAAUUUUCGGCAAUGGGCGAAAGCCUGACCGAGCGACGCCGCGUGAGGGACGAAGGCCUUCGGGUUGUAAACCUCUGUCUGGGGGGAUGAGAACGGACGGUACCCCCGGAGGAAGCCCCGGCUAACUACGUGCCAGCAGCCGCGGUAAUACGUAGGGGGCUAGCGUUGUCCGGAAUUACUGGGCGUAAAGGGCGUGUAGGCGGUCGUGCAAG